GAUGAACGCUGGCGGCGUGCCUAAUACAUGCAAGUCGAGCGAACAGACGAGGAGCUUGCUCCUCUGACGUUAGCGGCGGACGGGUGAGUAACACGUGGAUAACCUACCUAUAAGACUGGGAUAACUUCGGGAAACCGGAGCUAAUACCGGAUAAUAUAUUGAACCGCAUGGUUCAAUAGUGAAAGACGGUUUUGCUGUCACUUAUAGAUGGAUCCGCGCCGCAUUAGCUAGUUGGUAAGGUAACGGCUUACCAAGGCAACGAUGCGUAGCCGACCUGAGAGGGUGAUCGGCCACACGGGAACUGGGACACGGUCCAGACUCCUACGGGAGGCAGCAGUAGGGAAUCUUCCGCAAUGGGCGAAAGCUUGACGGAGCAACGCCGCGUGAGGGAUGAAGGUCUUCGGAUCGUAAAACUCUGUUAUUAGGGAAGAACAAAUGUGUAAGUAACUAUGCACGUCUUGACGGUACCUAAUCAGAAAGCCACGGCUAACUACGUG
Molecule: ribosomal RNA, 497 nt
Filed under: uncultured bacterium
Lineage: Bacteria
Description: partial 16S ribosomal RNA
Rfam family: Bacterial small subunit ribosomal RNA
Source: RNAcentral